AACGAGCGCUGGCGGCGUGGAUUAGGCAUGCAAGUCGUACGCGAAAAUAGACUUCGGUUUAUGAGUAGAGUGGCGAACUGGUGAGUACAAGGUGACUAACCUGCCCUUGAGUGGGGGAUAACUUCGGGAAACCGAAGCUAAUACCGCAUGGUUUCUUGGUCUUUCGAGAUUAAGAAUAAAGCAGUAAUGUGCUCAAGGAU
This 200-nucleotide ribosomal RNA is filed under the name uncultured bacterium. Its description in RNAcentral is "partial 16S ribosomal RNA". It matches the Rfam family "Bacterial small subunit ribosomal RNA", at positions 29 to 226 of the family's 1533-position model. The record is from RNAcentral.